AGGGGAUCUGUCUGAUGGCAUCUAGGAAGGGUAAAUUUAUUUGAACAUUUUUAAAGACUUCCAUGAUUUCAUCGUACUGAGAUUUUUUCUUUAGGUCUUGUAGUCUACUAGGAAAGGGAGCCUUAGGUGUGUAAGUCUCUAUUGGUUUCUCCUCUAUUCCUUGUGUUCCCUGUUCUUGUGCCUUUUUCUGGGUGGGGUUUGGUUCAUG
Molecule: long non-coding RNA, 208 nt
Filed under: Phoenix dactylifera (date palm)
Lineage: Eukaryota; Viridiplantae; Streptophyta; Magnoliopsida; Arecales; Arecaceae
Description: long non-coding RNA (PDAC_LNC010855)
Source: RNAcentral